AUUGAACGCUGGCGGCAGGCCUAACACAUGCAAGUCGAACGGUAACAGGAAUCAGCUUGCUGAUUUGCUGACGAGUGGCGGACGGGUGAGUAAUGUCUGGGAAACUGCCUGAUGGAGGGGGAUAACUACUGGAAACGGUAGCUAAUACCGCAUAACGUCGCAAGACCAAAGAGGGGGACCUUCGGGCCUCUUGCCAUCGGAUAUGCCCAGAUGGGAUUAGCUAGUAGGUGAGGUAAAGGCUCACCUAGGCGACGAUCCCUAGCUGGUCUGAGAGGAUGACCAGCCACACUGGAACUGAGACACGGUCCAGACUCCUACGGGAGGCAGCAGUGGGGAAUAUUGCACAAUGGGCGCAAGCCUGAUGCAGCCAUGCCGCGUGUAUGAAGAAGGCCUUCGGGUUGUAAAGUACUUUCAGCGGGGAGGAAGGGAGUAAAGUUAAUACCUUUGCUCAUUGACGUUACCCGCAGAAGAAGCACCGGCUAACUCCGUG
Molecule: ribosomal RNA, 490 nt
Filed under: uncultured bacterium
Lineage: Bacteria
Description: partial 16S ribosomal RNA
Rfam family: Bacterial small subunit ribosomal RNA
Source: RNAcentral